Molecule: ribosomal RNA, 468 nt
Filed under: uncultured bacterium
Lineage: Bacteria
Description: partial 16S ribosomal RNA
Rfam family: Bacterial small subunit ribosomal RNA
Source: RNAcentral
GACGAACGCUGGCGGCAUGCUUAACACAUGCAAGUCGAACGGAAAGGCCCUGCUUUUGUGGGGUGCUCGCGUGGCGCACGGGUGUGUAGCACGUGAGUAACCUGCCCUUGACUGUGGGAUAACUUCAGGCAAGUGGGGCUAAUACCGGAUAGGAGCGCGUGCUGCAUGGUGGGGUUUGGAAAGUUUCGGCGGUUGGGGCUGGACUCGGGGCUUAUCAGCUUGUUGGGGGGGGAGUGGCUUACCAAGGGUUUGGCGGGUAGCCGGCCUGGGAGGGUGACCGGCCACAAUGGGACUGCGGGACGGACCAGAGUCGUAUGGGGGGCAGUGGGGGGGAAUAUGGCACAGUGGGGGGAAGCCUGUUGCGGAAACCCUCCGAGCGGAAUGACGGUCUUCGGGUUGGAAACCGCUUUCGCCUGUGACGAAGCGGGUGUGACGGUAAUGGGUAAAGAGGCACCGGCUAACUACGUG